RNAcentral lists this ribosomal RNA (301 nucleotides) under uncultured bacterium. RNAcentral's name for it is "partial 16S ribosomal RNA". It matches the Rfam family "Bacterial small subunit ribosomal RNA", at positions 509 to 807 of the family's 1533-position model. The record is from RNAcentral.
CAGUCGCCACGGUAAUACGUAGGUGGCAAGCGUUGUCCGGAAUUACUGGGUGUAAAGGGAGCGUAGACGGUUAAACAAGUCUGAAGUGAAAUGCCGGGGCUCAACCCCGGAGCUGCUUUGGGAACUGUAGAACUGGAGUGUCGGAGGGGUAAGCGGAAUUCCCAGUGUAGCGGUGAAAUGCGUAGAUAUUGGGAGGAACACCGGCGGCGAAGGCGGCUUACUGGACGACAACUGACGUUGAGGCUCGAAGGCGUGGGUAGCAAACAGGAUUAGAUACCCCUGUAGUCCCUGUCUCUUAUAC